Molecule: transfer RNA, 73 nt
Filed under: marine sediment metagenome
Rfam family: tRNA
About the family: Transfer RNA (tRNA) molecules are approximately 80 nucleotides in length. Their secondary structure includes four short double-helical elements and three loops (D, anti-codon, and T loops). Further hydrogen bonds mediate the characteristic L-shaped molecular structure. tRNAs have two regions of fundamental functional importance: the anti-codon, which is responsible for specific mRNA codon recognition, and the 3' end, to which the tRNAs corresponding amino acid is attached (by aminoacyl-tRNA synthetases). tRNAs cope with the degeneracy of the genetic code in two manners: having more than one tRNA (with a specific anti-codon) for a particular amino acid; and 'wobble' base-pairing, i.e. permitting non-standard base-pairing at the 3rd anti-codon position.
Source: RNAcentral
GCUGGGAUAGCUCAGUAGGUAGAGCACGUCCUUGGUAAGGACGAGGUCAGCAGUUCGAUCCUGCUUCCCAGCU